GCUACAAUGGACAAAUCUGGUUACUCUUUAACUGCUUGUAUUGUCAUUGCUGUGGCUUCUGGCAUUGCUGGAGUGGCUAUUGGUGUUGUAGGAACUGCCAAAUACAAGUGGAAAAUGAUGCUUAAUGUGAUUGCAGCUGUAUCCACGCUGUUUGUUCUCAUGUUCUUAACGGAAGGCCUCAUAAAACUGGCUGUCAGUUUAUUACCAGCUCUUUAUGUCACAAUUAAAUGGAAGCGUAAGUCACAACUCUGUGGUGUUCAGUGAUACUUUCAAAAUAUGUUACACCAAAGUUCUGCAAAGUUCUACUAAUAUUUUCAGUGGGAAGUUUUCUUUCAGUUCCUCAAGGUAGGAUAACUAAAGGUGUUCCAAAAGCAUUUAGGGACAACUUCAUUAGAUCCUAAUGUUCUCAAAUUAAAUCAUGCAGAGAGAACAUUCUUCCUUUAUUAUUAUGUAACAUCAUGGAACAUUGUGAGAACGUUUUAUAGGUUCUAUAAUGCGUUCACUUAACAACAUCCCCAGAACAUUACAGCUAGAAUGUUCCAGUGUUAAUAUAUCACAGUACAGAAACAUCUUCAGAUGUCAUCUGAAAUCUCAAUAACAAGGUGGGAACAUCUAAUAGAAGAGCGUAAUGUCUUUUCCCUCCUCUGUUAAUAUAUCUUACAGCAGGAAUGUUUUAUAAAAAUAACAAUAAACCCUUAAAUAUGU
Long non-coding RNA from Acanthochromis polyacanthus (spiny chromis), 705 nucleotides. RefSeq lists it as uncharacterized. NCBI's taxonomy places the organism in Eukaryota, Metazoa, Chordata, Actinopteri, Pomacentridae. The record is from RefSeq and is a predicted model, not a curated record. The transcript has 2 exons.